Long non-coding RNA from Cuculus canorus (common cuckoo), 2566 nucleotides. RefSeq lists it as uncharacterized. NCBI's taxonomy places the organism in Eukaryota, Metazoa, Chordata, Aves, Cuculiformes, Cuculidae. The transcript has 4 exons. The record is from RefSeq and is a predicted model, not a curated record.
AUCUCCUUUGCAACAGCAGAGGGUUUAAAACAACCACCCGAAAGGACAUAACCCGAAAGAUCUAUUCGGAAUGAGAAUAAACACCGAGAAGGGCCGGUGUUCCACGCCACGGCCCCGAGUGGGAAUCAAGGUCAAAGUCUCUGUUGCUUCAAGUUUAGAGCUAUCAAAGGCAGCUGAGUAAGAGGGCUUCAUCUGGUGGACAGCAGUGUUGGAUCCAGCAAGUGCCGUCACUCUACUUUGGGAGAAAUAAAGUUCAUCAUCAAAAUCCUGGGAGCCAGUUACAAAAAAGAAGCGGUUCAAAAGUGGGUUUUUUAUCCUCAGCCAAAUGUGACGAAACAAAGUGAUGCUUUCUGGCAGUAUGAGUCAGCUUAGGAGUGGAGGGUUUAUUCUAAUAAUGCAGCAAUGCAGGAUCAGUAAAGAAUUACAGCCAUGGCAACCAGGAGGCACAUUUUCAGCGUGUUUUUUGCAUUUUUCACCUUUGUCUGUGUCUCCUCACCUAAAGCAAAGUAUAUCACAGAACGGCUUCCUGACAGUGUGGGCAAACCCCUGCCUGUGCACAUGGGGCCAUCUUCUCCUACUGUGGAAAGAAACUCUGGGGUCUCAGCCUCUGUAGUGGGUAACGUGCCCAGGAAAGGAGAUGCAUGGGAUAUUCCAAAGAGGUGGGUGUACAGGCAGAGCAGGAACUUCUCUACAUAGGCAGUUCAGCAUAUUCAGAGCUACCAUAUACCCAGGUUUUCUUGCAGAAUCCACCUUUUUCCACCUCUACAGACAUCUCUAGGGGAGGCAGAAAAACAAGGACUUUACCUAUGUGAUUAGGGAUGCAGGUAAGACGACCCCGGGAACACAAAAUAGUCCAUUUUUGUGUCCCCAGUACCUACCAACCUAGCAGCAGCAGGAUCUGGCAUGCUGGGUGACAGGUACAAAUAAUCAGUUAGAAGUUUUAGCUGCAUUGUCCACUAAGACAAGGCUUGUGAAGUUCCAGUGUCUGUCCAGCUGCCUGCGGCAAUGUGUGGCUCUGCCAGUCACUUUCACCCGGUCUUGAUGGGGGAGGUGUUUCAAAGAAACCAGCUUCACAGGCUCCUAUGAGCAGCUCCAUGACUGUUUGUCCCCAUCUGUCCCAAGCAGCUUAUUAACUCCAGCCCAGAUGAUCUGACAUUCAGGUAGACUGAAUCUGAUUUUCCAGCUGAGGGAGCCCUCAGAUCUCUGCCGUUUCUAACCAGAUUUCAUCAUGGAAAGCAUGUUGCCCUCCGAGACCUGAUCUUCAAUAUCAGAAGCUGAAAGCACCAAGCAUGCCCAGCUUCUGGCUGAAGGAAACUCAGACCUUUGCUUAGACCUGUCUGCAAAAUGGGGAGGAGGAAGAGCAUUAGAGCAGCCCUGAGACACAGCACUGACCAGAGGUCUGAUCUGGGGUGCCCGUGUAUGACCUGGGGCACAGCUCCUCCUCUGCAAGUCCGGCACUCACGGGCUGCUGGCCCCCCACCGAAAUGCAGACUGUGCCAGGGGAACCUGCAGCAGUGAGAUGCUGGUGCCACUUGAGUGAACUGAUUUGGCCAGGCAUGUGGGAAGGCAGACACCUGGGAAGCUGCAGAGGCUUUGAGGAUAAAAUAGAGAAGGAUGAAAAAAUAAGGAGGGGAAGAAACAAAUAGAAAGGACUCCCUGAUAUUUUUUGAAAUGUUAGGCCUGGUUCCAGAGGUGGAAAAAUGGCAUUCAAUUUUCUCAAGGUAUUUUCUUUUUCAGAAAUUAGAAACUUGAACUACAAGUUUCACAUUUUAAAUCUAAUGGGAAAAAAAAAACAAACCUCACUCAAAAGCAACAUUCUUGCACAACAAGGGACUUAAAAAGAAUUAUAAAAUCCCUUCUUUUGAGAGAGGAACAUUUUUAAGUCACAAAAUUCUAAGUAGCUCUGUUCCCCACUGUAGUUGCUUUAGGACAUGCCCAAAGCAUGUCCAUGUGUACAUGAAGCUGUCAUUUGCACUUCUUUGGGAUGUCUUCAGUGUUGGCCUUGAAGCUGCAGGAGAUCCGCCUUGUUUCCUUCUCAGCAGAAGGGGAUACAAAAUACCACGCUACCAUCCAAGAAAUGGGAGUACAAGCAUGGAGGCACACAGACCCACAACACUGAAAUUUAAAGCCAUGGAGCAAUUCUACAGUGCUGUUAAUAUAAUUUGAUGUUAAUUUCUGAUCAUGCAUUUGUAUUCAUGGUCUUUUUAUUUGCUAGGAUCCCCUAGCAAUCUUUAAUAAAAAAAAAUAUAUAUUCAUUUCCCACUUGAGAUCUCAGAGGAACAGUAGGAUCUGGAUAAAUUAGGCACAACCCAGCAAAAGUGGGAAUAUCCAUCAAAAGUUUGUUCCUUUGAUUCCAAAGCCCAGUUGACCACAACAUGUUGUUUGUAGGUGCCAGGAGAGAAACAACCAACGAGAAAAGAUUUGUUUGCAUGAGCUCUGUACACCAGAAAGCCCUGAUGAAUCCGUCACAGGGGAAAAAUGAGAGUAGUCACAGGCUGCCUUCCCCGCCCAUGGGAUGCAAGAGGUGAAGUGCAGCAAUAAGGCAGUCAAGGGGGGCAGUGGGACA